CCCUUAGAUGUUCUGGGCCGCACGCGCGCUACAAUGGCAGACUCAGCGAGUUACCUCUGUCGAAAGGCACAGGGAAUCUUUACAGUAUCUGCCGUGAUGGGGAUAGACCCUUGUAAUUUUUGGUCUUCAACGAGGAAUUCCUAGUAAACGCAAGUCAUUAACUUGCAUUGAUUACGUCCCUGCCCUUUGUACACACCGCCCGUCGCACCUACCGAUUGAAUGGUCCGGUGAAGUCCUCGGACCCAGUUGAACCUCGAGUUGAACAGGGAAAGUUGACUAAAUCUUACCAUUUAGAGGAAGGUGGAGUCGUAACA
RNAcentral lists this ribosomal RNA (314 nucleotides) under uncultured eukaryote. RNAcentral describes it as "partial 18S ribosomal RNA". It matches the Rfam family "Eukaryotic small subunit ribosomal RNA", at positions 1470 to 1796 of the family's 1831-position model. The record is from RNAcentral.